GGACGAAAGUCUGAUGGAGCAACGCCGCGUGAGCGAAGAAGGCCUUCGGGUCGUAAAGCUCUGUUGUUAGGGAAGAACAAGUAUCGGAGUAACUGCCGGUACCUUGACGGUACCUAACCAGAAAGCCACGGCUAACUACGUGCCAGCAGCCGCGGUAAUACGUAGGUGGCAAGCGUUGUCCGGAAUUAUUGGGCGUAAAGCGCGCGCAGGCGGUCCUUUAAGUCUGAUGUGAAAGCCCACGGCUCAACCGUGGAGGGUCAUUGGAAACUGGGGGACUUGAGUGCAGAAGAGGAAAGCGGAAUUCCACGUGUAGCGGUGAAAUGCGUAGAGAUGUGGAGGAACACCAGUGGCGAAGACGGCUUUCUGGUCUGUAACUGACGCUGAGGCGCGAAAGCGUGGGGAGCAAACAGGAUUAGAUACCCUGGUAGUCCACGCCGUAAACGAUGAGUGCUAAGUGUUAGGGGGUUUCCGCCCCUUAGUGCUGCAGCUAACGCAUUAAGCACUCCGCCUGGGGAGUACG
Molecule: ribosomal RNA, 520 nt
Filed under: uncultured bacterium
Lineage: Bacteria
Description: bacterial SSU rRNA
Rfam family: Bacterial small subunit ribosomal RNA
Source: RNAcentral